RNAcentral lists this ribosomal RNA (382 nucleotides) under Pseudotontonia sp. RNAcentral describes it as "partial small subunit ribosomal RNA". It matches the Rfam family "Eukaryotic small subunit ribosomal RNA", at positions 582 to 975 of the family's 1831-position model. Lineage: Eukaryota; Ciliophora; Spirotrichea; Tontoniidae. The record is from RNAcentral.
AUUCCAGCUCCAAUAGCGUAUAUUAAAGUUGUUGCAGUUAAAAAGCUCGUAGUUGGAUUUCUGCGAGGGUGCCAAUGUCCGCCGACGCGCGUGCGCAGCGGCGCCCUCGCAUCCUUCUGUUACCACCUCUCGGCAUUCACUUGCCGGUGGUCGGCUCAGAGAAUUUACCUUGAGAAAAUUAGAGUGUUUCAGGCAGGCUAGGCCGGAAUACAUUAGCAUGGAAUAAUGGAAUAGGACUACGGUCUCGUUGUUGGUUUGAGGGACUGCAGUAAUGAUUAAUAGGGAUAGUUGGGGGCAUUAGUAUUUAAUUGUCAGAGGUGAAAUUCUCGGAUUUGUUAAAGACUAACUUAUGCGAAAGCAUUUGCCAAGGAUGUUUUCAUCG